AUUGAACGCUGGCGGCAGGCUUAACACAUGCAAGUCGAGCGGAAACGAUGGUAGCUUGCUACCAGGCGUCGAGCGGCGGACGGGUGAGUAAUACUUAGGAAUCUACCUAGUAGUGGGGGAUAGCUCGGGGAAACUCGAAUUAAUACCGCAUACGACCUACGGGAGAAAGGGGGCAGUUUACUGCUCUCGCUAUUAGAUGAGCCUAAGUCGGAUUAGCUAAAUGGUGGGGUAAAGGCCUACCAUGGCGACGAUCUGUAGCUGGUCUGAGAGGAUGAUCAACCACACCGGGACUGAGACACGGCCCGGACUCCUACGGGAGGCAGCAGUGGGGAAUAUUGGACAAUGGGGGAAACCCUGAUCCAGCCAUGCCGCGUGUGUGAAGAAGGCCUUUUGGUUGUAAAGCACUUUAAGCAGUGAAGAAGACUCCGUGGUUAAUACCCACGGACGAUGACAUUAGCUGCAGAAUAAGCACCGGCUAACUCUGUGCCAGCAGCCGCGGUAAUACAGAGGGUGCAAGCGUUAAUCGGAAUUACUGGGCGUAAAGGGAGCGUAGGUGGCUCGAUAAGUCAGAUGUGAAAUCCCCGGGCUCAACCUGGGAACUGCAUCUGAUACUGUUGAGCUAGAGUAUGUGAGAGGAAGGUAGAAUUCCAGGUGUAGCGGUGAAAUGCGUAGAGAUCUGGAGGAAUACCGAUGGCGAAGGCAGCCUUCUGGCAUAAUACUGACACUGAGGCUCGAAAGCGUGGGUAGCAAACAGG
Molecule: ribosomal RNA, 755 nt
Filed under: uncultured bacterium
Lineage: Bacteria
Description: bacterial SSU rRNA
Rfam family: Bacterial small subunit ribosomal RNA
Source: RNAcentral